GCCCAGGUGGCGAAACUGGUAGACGCGCUAGCUUGAGGGGCUAGUGGGAGCAAUCCCGUGGAGGUUCGAGUCCUCUCUUGGGCACCA
This 87-nucleotide transfer RNA is filed under the name Candidatus Peribacteria bacterium RIFCSPHIGHO2_01_FULL_54_22. RNAcentral describes it as "tRNA-Leu". It matches the Rfam family "tRNA". From Rfam's summary of the family: Transfer RNA (tRNA) molecules are approximately 80 nucleotides in length. Their secondary structure includes four short double-helical elements and three loops (D, anti-codon, and T loops). Further hydrogen bonds mediate the characteristic L-shaped molecular structure. tRNAs have two regions of fundamental functional importance: the anti-codon, which is responsible for specific mRNA codon recognition, and the 3' end, to which the tRNAs corresponding amino acid is attached (by aminoacyl-tRNA synthetases). tRNAs cope with the degeneracy of the genetic code in two manners: having more than one tRNA (with a specific anti-codon) for a particular amino acid; and 'wobble' base-pairing, i.e. permitting non-standard base-pairing at the 3rd anti-codon position. The record is from RNAcentral. RNAcentral also lists the same sequence under 4 other names. Lineage: Bacteria; Candidatus Peregrinibacteriota; Candidatus Peribacteria.